AGGCAAUUUGUUGUUGAUGCAACCAAAGGUGCAUCACCAGGUGUUAAUGCAAGUAACACUGGGCAGCACCUGCAUUACGGCAGAAAAGGUAAUGGUCCUGGGAAACAUGCAAAGCUGGAAGACAACAAAGGUGCUACUAGGUUGGGGAGAGAUCAGACACCAAUCGGCGUAUUUGAAGAUGAAUGCGUUUUCUGCCAUUCAUUUAGAACCAGUGAGCCGUGUCAUGGUCCGAUGGUCCGAUGGUACUGUAUCACAAUAGAAGGAUUGUGCCCAGUGACGAGGGCAACCCUACCAACGCCAUCUAUGUUCCACGAGAAAUGCAUGGUUUGGGCCCCAAAAGUGGAAUCCAAUGGUGAUACUUUUAAGAAUGUGGAGAGUGAAAUCAAUCGUUCUAAAAGAUUGAGAUGCAGAAGAUGCAAACUCCCGGGAGCAGCGCUUGGUUGUUAUGACAACUCCUGCAGAAAAAGUUAUCAUGUCCCAUGUGCAAUGAUGAUACCAGAAUGCCGCUGGGAUGAAGUAAGCUUUUGAGUAUAGCUUGUCCUUGAUCCAUUUAUAAACCUAGCACACAACGCGGUGAUUGGGAGAUGGAUCUUCUGUUGCCCAGGGAUGUACAUCUGAUUUUAAGAAUAUCACAUCGAGUCCUGCAUCCCUUUAGCCUCCUCCUCUCCAACGUCCAUGGCUCUGUGAUGAAAUCAAGGUUGACUGAUGUUUGAUAUGAACAGAAUAAAGUCUACAGGUAAAAGGGAAAAUAGAAUGGGCUUCCAUAUGAUGGAUGUACAUGGGGGAAAUAAGUCUGAUAUCUUGGUGUUUCAAUCUCAGAUUAAAUUCUUCAACAAGAUUUAGUCCAGGAGCAAGUCUACUGAGAAGAGCAAGGGUGUCGAUCAUGAAUUUUUGUUUUAGUUGACUGUAGGUUUCAUGUGGUAUGUCUCCAGGAAAUGUAUUUUUGAUCUCAGCUUCUAAUGAUGAAAAGAAGUAGUCAAGAAUAAAAUUUGAUGUCCUUUGGCACCUUACAAGAUGAUAAACAUCAACACUGAUGUUCUGUUGUUCUGAUAACUGCAAAAUAGGAACGCAUGCAUCAAUGGGCAUGAAGGGCGUGGGUUGAAGAUCAAUUAUUCUACAUUGUUUGGUCUAUUUAAAGUCAGCUAUUUAUUUUCUUACGCAUGAAAGAACUUUUCUUAAUGCGUGGGUGUUUAUAGAACAUCGCUGGUCUCUUCAAUGGCAAUCAGUACUCAUUGGUGUUGUCAGGCAUUCAAUCAGAGGUGUGGCAUGCUUCUGACAUCAACGACGUUGCCAACAACGUCUAUCAGCACAAUUCGGCCACCGGUCCUACCGUUCUGCAAACUUGGAUCUCUGGCAAAAACUGAAAAUUUCUUUUUGGGUUAAGCACUAUUGACUUGUGGUGGUAAAUUCUUUUGGCAAGGAAACUUAAAUAUAUUGUAAUGUGAGUAUCUCGACUGGCAUUGAGGAUUAAGAACUUUAACUAUGCCGCCACACUUUGUAGGCACUAUAACUACCAUUCUAGGCAUGUAUAUGCAUGGUAUUCUAUGCAGAAUUUGUUUGCUCAUAUACAGGGAAUACUCACUACAUUAUGAGACAAAGUUUAUUAUGGACUGGUAAGAGUUUACUGAUGAUUCAUCCUAUCAUCCUUAGAUACAAAGAUUAAGGUGUACACAAUUCAAACACUCAUGUUUGGCAUGUUCCACGCAACACACCUGCUCCAUGAAACAACAACAUUGGUCGAGGCUGAAGCACAGGAAGAAGCAGUGUGGGCAUCGCCACAUCCUGUGCGUGAUCGUUUCCACUCUGCCACAUGCGAUGCAGAACACCCCAGGUUUGACAUGUCGUCGCAGUAGUUCAUCACCGAAAGCCAACCCAUUUUUUAACAUCCGCCAGCCAUGUAUUUUAACUUUGUUUGGGACAUCCGCGGCCCAUAAUUCCAUCCAACUCUUAUGAUCCGCAACCGAGCUGGACGAGGAGGCCAGUGCCUUUCUCGCCGUCUUCAGGGUCAUCCCUAGAUGGUAGGCCGAUCUCACGGUGAAGAUCCCAUUUCUGGUAUAGUUCCAGGCCCGGAAAUCUUCUUUGCCCGGCCCCCCCCACUACUACCUGUCUAAUAUCUUGGGCAUCAGACGGAGUGAACACAGCCUGCAGUUUUCCUUCGUCCCAGGCCGUUCCGUCCUUCGAGAGUAGGUCAGCCACCUUGAUCGUAUUCGGUACUUAGUUGGCACCUAGAGGAGUCAUGCUUCCAUUGCAGGGUAUCCAAUUGUCAUGCAACACGUUGAUCUUCGUUCCAGGCCCGGAAAUCUUCUUGUGCUGAUUCAAUUCUAUUACGUAAACAAUAAGUAAUUAAGAAUUCAGAAAUUGCACGAUAUAUGUGAGAUCACUUCCCUAGAAGACAGGCAUAAGAUU
This is a long non-coding RNA of Triticum aestivum (bread wheat), 2406 nucleotides long. RefSeq lists it as uncharacterized. Lineage: Eukaryota; Viridiplantae; Streptophyta; Magnoliopsida; Poales; Poaceae. The transcript has 7 exons. The record is from RefSeq and is a predicted model, not a curated record.